This 1298-nucleotide ribosomal RNA is filed under the name Poecilimon sanctipauli. Its description in RNAcentral is "16S ribosomal RNA". The stretch from base 604 to 1298 matches the Rfam family "Archaeal large subunit ribosomal RNA", at positions 1423 to 2815 of the family's 2987-position model. Lineage: Eukaryota; Metazoa; Arthropoda; Insecta; Orthoptera; Tettigoniidae. The record is from RNAcentral.
AUAGUAUUAUCAGAAUUGUUUAGGAAGAGUUAUUAAUUAAAAUAAUUUUAGGGAAGUAUUUUUAGUAUAGUUUAUAGAAUUUAUAAAGUGAAUGAUAGAGUAGUAGUACUGUGAAGGAAUUAUGAAAUAGGUGAAAUAGUUAUUAGGAUAAAAGAAGAAUAUAUUUUGUACCUUGGGUGUCAGGGUUUAUUAAUUAAUAAUAAUGAUUUAGAGUUCCCGAAUUAGAAAGAGUUAAGAUAGUAUAAUAGUUAACGUGUUAUUGUUAUUAAGAAUACUAUUUUAGGAAUGAAAUGUUAAUCGUUUUUUAAGUUAUCUGGUUUUUCAAGAGAUGAAUUUAAUUCAUGUUAUUGAGAGUAAAUGUUUAAUUUUUAUUAAUGAUUUAUUUUUAGUAUCAAAUAUAUAGGGGGAUAAGCUUUUAUAUAAAUGUUAUAAAUUAUGAAAUUUAUAAAGAGUAGUAGGCUUUAAAUUAGCUAUCAAUGGGAUAAUGUUAUAAAUUGUUUUUUAUGGUUAGUUAUUUUUUAGUGGUUUUAGGUUGUUUAUUGAAAUGUUAUGUUAAAUAGGUUAAUAUAAGUAAUAAUGAUAAAAUGAGUAUAUAAAAUUGUUUACAGUAGUUUUGGGAUAAUUUACAUUAAGGAACUAGGCAAAGUAUCACUCGCCUGUUUAUCAAAAACAUCUCCUUUUGUUGUUGUACAAGGUAGGGCCUGCCCACUGAAAGUUAUUUGAAGGGCCGCGGUAUUAUGACCGUGCAAAGGUAGCAUAAUCAUUAGUCUUUUAAUUGAAGGCUGGAAUGAAUGGUUUGACGAGGUGAUGACUGUCUCGGUGUAAUAAGUGGAAGUUAACUUUUAAGUUAAAAGGCUUAAAUUUUAAUGGAGGACGAGAAGACCCUAUAGAGCUUUAUAUAUAAAUUUAAAUUUGUGUUUAGGAGUUUAUAAUAAUUUGGAUUGAUUAUAUUGUGUUGGGGUGACAUAAAGAUAGAAUUAACUCUUUAUUAAUAGAACAUUGAUAUAUGGGUUGUUGAUCCAUUUUUAGUGAUCAGAAGAUUAAGUUACCUUAGGGAUAACAGCGUAAUUUUUCUUGAGAGUUCAUAUCAACAGAGAAGAUUGCGACCUCGAUGUUGGAUUAAGGAAUAUAAUUGGAUGCAGCAGUUUAAUUAAUAGGUCUGUUCGACCUUUAAAUCCUUACAUGAUCUGAGUUCAGACCGGUGUAAGCCAGGUCGGUUUCUAUCCUUAUUAGAUUUUUAUACUUUAGUACGAAAGGACCAAGUAUUUUAAAUAUUUUAUGAUGUUUGAUUAUUAGUA